RNAcentral lists this ribosomal RNA (222 nucleotides) under uncultured bacterium. RNAcentral describes it as "partial 16S ribosomal RNA". It matches the Rfam family "Bacterial small subunit ribosomal RNA", at positions 109 to 334 of the family's 1533-position model. The record is from RNAcentral.
AGUAAUGUAUGGGGAUCUGCCUGAUGGCGGGGGAUAACUACUGGAAACGGUAGCUAAUACCGCAUAAUGUCGCAAGACCAAAGAGGGGGACCUUAGGGCCUCUUGCCAUCGGAUGUGCCCAGAUGGGAUUAGCUAGUAGGUGGGGUAAUGGCUCACCUAGGCGACGAUCCCUAGCUGGUCUGAGAGGAUGACCAGCCACACUGGAACUGAGACACGGUCCAG